AUAAUGGGUCAGCGACUUAUAUUCUGUAGCAAGGUUAACCGAAUAGGGGAGCCGAAGGGAAACCGAGUCUUAACUGGGCGUUAAGUUGCAGGGUAUAGACCCGAAACCCGGUGAUCUAGCCAUGGGCAGGUUGAAGGUUGGGUAACACUAACUGGAGGACCGAACCGACUAAUGUUGAAAAAUUAGCGGAUGACUUGUGGCUGGGGGUGAAAGGCCAAUCAAACCGGGAGAUAGCUGGUUCUCCCCGAAAGCUAUUUAGGUAGCGCCUCGUGAAUUCAUCUCCGGGGGUAGAGCACUGUUUCGGCAAGGGGGUCAUCCCGACUUACCAACCCGAUGCAAACUGCGAAUACCGGAGAAUGUUAUCACGGGAGACACACGGCGGGUGCUAACGUCCGUCGUGAAGAGGGAAACAACCCAGACCGCCAGCUAAGGUCCCAAAGUCAUGGUUAAGUGGGAAACGAUGUGGGAAGGCCCAGACAGCCAGGAUGUUGGCUUAGAAGCAGCCAUCAUUUAAAGAAAGCGUAAUAGCUCACUGGUCGAGUCGGCCUGCGCGGAAGAUGUAACGGGGCUAAACCAUGCACCGAAGCUGCGGCAGCGACGCUUAUGCGUUGUUGGGUAGGGGAGCGUUCUGUAAGCCUGCGAAGGUGUGCUGUGAGGCAUGCUGGAGGUAUCAGAAGUGCGAAUGCUGACAUAAGUAACGAUAAAGCGGGUGAAAAGCCCGCUCGCCGGAAGACCAAGGGUUCCUGUCCAACGUUAAUCGGGGCAGGGUGAGUCGACCCCUAAGGCGAGGCCGAAAGGCGUAGUCGAUGGGAAACAGGUUAAUAUUCCUGUACUUGGUGUUACUGCGAAGGGGGGACGGAGAAGGCUAUGUUGGCCGGGCGACGGUUGUCCCGGUUUAAGCGUGUAGGCUGGUUUUCCAGGCAAAUCCGGAAAAUCAAGGCUGAGGCGUGAUGACGAGGCACUACGGUGCUGAAGCAACAAAUGCCCUGCUUCCAGGAAAAGCCUCUAAGCAUCAGGUAACAUCAAAUCGUACCCCAAACCGACACAGGUGGUCAGGUAGAGAAUACCAAGGCGCUUGAGAGAACUCGGGUGAAGGAACUAGGCAAAAUGGUGCCGUAACUUCGGGAGAAGGCACGCUGAUAUGUAGGUGAAGUCCCUCGCGGAUGGAGCUGAAAUCAGUCGAAGAUACCAGCUGGCUGCAACUGUUUAUUAAAAACACAGCACUGUGCAAACACGAAAGUGGACGUAUACGGUGUGACGCCUGCCCGGUGCCGGAAGGUUAAUUGAUGGGGUCAGCGCAAGCGAAGCUCUUGAUCGAAGCCCCGGUAAACGGCGGCCGUAACUAUAACGGUCCUAAGGUAGCGAAAUUCCUUGUCGGGUAAGUUCCGACCUGCACGAAUGGCGUAAUGAUGGCCAGGCUGUCUCCACCCGAGACUCAGUGAAAUUGAACUCGCUGUGAAGAUGCAGUGUACCCGCGGCAAGACGGAAAGACCCCGUGAACCUUUACUAUAGCUUGACACUGAACAUUGAGCCUUGAUGUGUAGGAUAGGUGGGAGGCUUUGAAGUGUGGACGCCAGUCUGCAUGGAGCCGACCUUGAAAUACCACCCUUUAAUGUUUGAUGUUCUAACGUUGACCCGUAAUCCGGGUUGCGGACAGUGUCUGGUGGGUAGUUUGACUGGGGCGGUCUCCUCCUAAAGAGUAACGGAGGAGCACGAAGGUUGGCUAAUCCUGGUCGGACAUCAGGAGGUUAGUGCAAUGGCAUAAGCCAGCUUGACUGCGAGCGUGACGGCGCGAGCAGGUGCGAAAGCAGGUCAUAGUGAUCCGGUGGUUCUGAAUGGAAGGGCCAUCGCUCAACGGAUAAAAGGUACUCCGGGGAUAACAGGCUGAUACCGCCCAAGAGUUCAUAUCGACGGCGGUGUUUGGCACCUCGAUGUCGGCUCAUCACAUCCUGGGGCUGAAGUAGGUCCCAAGGGUAUGGCUGUUCGCCAUUUAAAGUGGUACGCGAGCUGGGUUUAGAACGUCGUGAGACAGUUCGGUCCCUAUCUGCCGUGGGCGCUGGAGAACUGAGGGGGGCUGCUCCUAGUACGAGAGGACCGGAGUGGACGCAUCACUGGUGUUCGGGUUGUCAUGCCAAUGGCACUGCCCGGUAGCUAAAUGCGGAAGAGAUAAGUGCUGAAAGCAUCUAAGCACGAAACUUGCCCCGAGAUGAGUUCUCCCUGACUCCUUGAGAGUCCUGAAGGAACGUUGAAGACGACGACGUUGAUAGGCCGGGUGUGUAAGCGCAGCGAUGCGUUGAGCUAACCGGUACUAAUGAACCGUGAGGCUUAACCUU
Molecule: ribosomal RNA, 2333 nt
Filed under: Escherichia coli
Lineage: Bacteria; Pseudomonadati; Pseudomonadota; Gammaproteobacteria; Enterobacterales; Enterobacteriaceae
Description: partial 23S ribosomal RNA
Rfam family: Bacterial large subunit ribosomal RNA
Source: RNAcentral